AUAAUACACUCGUUUCUCUCUCCUCUUUCUCAUACGCCAUUUUCUCUCUACUCAAGUAAUUUUCAAGCAUCCUCGCUUCAAUCAUCAACUUGAACAUCAAGAAUUUGUUUCAAUUUACAUACAUCUUCAAUGAUGAGCUGAAUUCGUUGCAAGAUUUCUCAACGAUAGAGGUUGAAAUUCUUGGAUGGAAAUGGGAUUGUAUUUCAAUGGACUUUGUGACUUGCCUCCCAAAGUCAAAUAGUGGAAACGACACCAUUUGGGUAGUGGUGGAUAGACUUACAAAAUCUGCGGUGUUUAGACCAAUGAAGGAGACUCGGAAGAUGGAACAACUUGCAAAAGCUUAAAUAAAUAAUGUGGUGAGGUUACAUGGAGUUCCAAAAGAUAUUGUGUCUGAUAGAGAUUCUAGGUUUCUUUUAAGGUUUUGGAAAACUUUGGUACAACACUUAAGAUGAGUACAACUUUUCACCCUGCCACAAAUGGGCAAACUGAGAGAACCAUUCAAACCUUGGAAGACAUGUUGAGGGCUUGUGUUAUAGAUUUUCAAGGGGGAUGGGAAGAUAGCUUGGACUUAAUUGAAUUUUCCUAUAAUAAUAGCUACCAUGCAAGCAUUGGCAUGGUUCCAUUUGAGGCAUUAUAUGGAAGGAAGUGUCGCAGUCCAAUCUGUUGGAACGACAUAAGUGAAACAAUGAUUUUAGGGCCUCAAAUGAUCGAGGAUACAGUUUAAAAAGUAAAGGAGAUUCAAGGUAAGAUUCAAGUGGCGCAAGAUCACCAAAAGAGCUACGCGGAUUUGAAGCGUAGAGAGGAGGAAUUUGAGGUCGGUGACAAAGUAUUGUUAAAGGUGUCACCAACGAAAGGUGUAAUGAGAUUUGGAAAGAAAGAUAUAUACACAAAAUUUCUCAAUUAUAAACUUAGUCUUAGAUAAAUCAUAUGACCGACAAUCAAAACGGGUUUCUUUGGGAAAUCUAGAAAGUUUCUUCUCAUAUGGAUUAUAAAAAAUAUAAGAACAAAUGGGGAAUUAUCUCACAAGCUUUUUAAAAGUCCAUCAUAUGGAAAACAGUCCUAACAUACAAGCAAUUCUCACAAGUGUUCACCGAGGCAUUUCAACAAACAGGUUAUGUGCAUUCCACAAAACUUUGAUUGCAUCUCUUUAGAGUAUAGUAAUAAGGAUACCAAAAUAGUUAAGAGGAAUUCAGGGAACAGGACAACCAACACAAACCUGUAACCAUGUUGAUUCUAUAUUGUUUAUGACAGAAUGAAGAGAUAUGCCAAUGUACUUAAAAGUCUUUCCAUCAAGCUUAAAAGUAAAUAGAAUAAUAUAAAACGUAAAUAAAACCCCUAAAAAAAUUCAUGAACAAGAAAUCUAAUUUGGAGAAAUCAAACGCAAUAAAAAAAACAAACUUAAUUCAAAUAGAUAAAAAUGAAGGCCUCGAUUGAGAAAAUAAGAGAAAAUUUCGAAUCACAUAAAAAUCAAACG
Chenopodium quinoa (quinoa) is the source of this 1474-nucleotide long non-coding RNA. RefSeq lists it as uncharacterized. The transcript has 2 exons. The record is from RefSeq and is a predicted model, not a curated record. Lineage: Eukaryota; Viridiplantae; Streptophyta; Magnoliopsida; Caryophyllales; Amaranthaceae.